ACGUUAGCGGCGGACGGGUGAGUAACACGUGGGUAACCUACCUAUAAGACUGGGAUAACUUCGGGAAACCGGAGCUAAUACCGGAUAAUAUUUCGAACCGCAUGGUUCGAUAGUGAAAGAUGGUUUUGCUAUCACUUAUAGAUGGACCCGCGCCGUAUUAGCUAGUUGGUAAGGUAACGGCUUACCAAGGCGACGAUACGUAGCCGACCUGAGAGGGUGAUCGGCCACACUGGAACUGAGACACGGUCCAGACUCCUACGGGAGGCAGCAGA
RNAcentral lists this ribosomal RNA (272 nucleotides) under uncultured Staphylococcus sp. RNAcentral describes it as "partial 16S ribosomal RNA". It matches the Rfam family "Bacterial small subunit ribosomal RNA", at positions 89 to 354 of the family's 1533-position model. The record is from RNAcentral. Lineage: Bacteria; Bacillati; Bacillota; Bacilli; Caryophanales; Staphylococcaceae.